Molecule: long non-coding RNA, 7559 nt
Filed under: Sus scrofa (pig)
Lineage: Eukaryota; Metazoa; Chordata; Mammalia; Artiodactyla; Suidae
Description: lncRNA (ENSSSCG00015041429.1)
Source: RNAcentral
GAGUACGCAGUGAAGACAGACAGCAGAGACCAGGUCAUAAGGGUCAAAUAUAUUCCUGACGAAUGAGACAAGCUCAAUAGAAUGAGUAAUUCAAUGUGCAUACGUAAAAUAUUUUGUUUACAUUUUAUUUUUGUUUUUCCACGCAAGCUCUGUAGGUUGGAAAACUAUACCACAUUCUCUUGGACACAAAUGCAAAAGGAAGUCCAACACCUAGAAAUACCACAGUGAAACUUUUCCUUUCAAAGACUGAGAAAAUUAUAUCAAUAGCCAAUAAAAAUUGGGCAAACACAAUUCUUUGGCCACAAAGUAUUAGAAAUCUAGUGGGUUUCCUAUUUCUUCUGUAUUAUGUCAAAUAUCAAAAAAAAAAAAAGGAAAUCAAAAAAAGCAGUCUGAGGGGAAAGAAUUGUGAUUAAACAAUGAUAAACGCUGCCAUUUUUUCUUGAUAUAUGCAGGCAAUAGAAAGAUCACUGUCCAAAGAUGUAAUAUGGUGCCAGGGUAUAUUUCUUGAAAAAUAUGACUUGAAAAUUACGUGAACGGUGGAACAAAAUUAAGGACUCAAGGCCGGGAAAUUCUAUACAAGAGAAGUGGUGGUGAGCAUUGAAACAGAUAACCAAAGCAAUCAAAAUAUUUGCCAAAAUAAUCAUUUUAGAGCCAACAUGUAUUUAGAGCUUACUAAGGGCCAGGCUCUGUGCUCUUUGACAUAUAUGUUUGUUCAUAAAAGCUAAGGCAGGUGUCAAAAAUUACUCAUCAAAUAAGAGAUGUUUCAUAUCAAAAUAACGUCUUCUGGGCCUAAAUCUUCGGAUUUCAUCAUGAAAACCAAACAGUGAGCAGAGAAAAGUGCUCAGUUCAUCUUAAUUUGGGAAAGAUGGGGGAUUCAAAAACACUAUUUCUUUUUUUUUUUAAUCAACAUCGAUAAUUAGCAGUAUAUUCCACAACAUACAAAGUUAAAACAAUUAAAAGUUAUAAAGAAAAGGACAAGUUGGAAAGAGUUUUUCUAACCAUAACGGCAGAAAAAAAGAAAUGAUAAAAUGAUUUAUAAAAAGAUGUCUUUAUAAAUCAUAACGGAAAACCAACACACACACAGGGAAAUAAAACAGCGCGGGGAUUCGAACUGGCAAAUUGACAAGUAUUAUGGAAAAAAUAUUAACUUCCUAAGUCAUUUUUAAAAGCGCAAAUUAAAACAGCAAUGCCAUGCCUGCGACGUGAAACGCAUCACACUGGCAAAAACUCAGAAGAAUGAUAAUCGCUGGUGUUAGCUAGGCUUGAGGGAGAGGUCCCUUUCAUAGCCUGCCAGGAGGAGGGUAAAUUGGUAAAUUGGUACUCUUCUGGACGGGAAUUUGGCAACAGACAUCAAAAGCUUUCUAAACGCAGACACCUUUGGACUCGACGAUUCCAUUUCCAAAGGACUUAGGAGGCGGCGGCCACAAAGAUUCAACCCCAGCGAUGGGAAGCGCAGCCCUCACGCACCUGCGGGUCUUCUGCUUUCAAGUGGAGGAUGCCAGUCCCGCCAGAACUAGGAAGAGGGCAAGAGCCGAAGCUGCAAAGGCAGGGACUUGCUGAGUGUCCCAGGCUCUGCAGAUGCAGCCUCCGGAACGUCGCUGCCGAGAGCCGCUCACUUCUGCUAAGCCGGUCCCCUGGUUGCGGAGUGUCUCUGGUGUCUUUCCUGGGGUUGUCCCCAAGGCUUUUCCAAAGCCCUGUUUAAACAUGUCAGGUCACUUCUGUCACACUCCAGGCAGCUAAGGGAAGGGUGGGCUAGAAGUGCAGUGGGUGCCUCCGGGGGCUGGUUGGGCAAAACUGGAGACUCAGCGCAGCACCCGCAGUGCAGAGCUAGUGGCUGGCGCGGGGCGGCUGGUGCGCGGCCCCUUACCUUGCGCGUUCCUCCUGAUGUUGGCCAGAGCCGCCUCUGCUGCAGAGAAUAAGCUGUGCUCCCUGCACGGUGGUGUCUUUGGCUCCCAGUCACAGGACCCGGAAAGAACACAGGGGCUCCACUGCACAGGAACCACCAUCCACCUGUUACCCUGGAGGUGGAAGCGUCUGAACACCUCACCGUGACUCUCACGGUCGAAAGGGCGCUCAGAUGCCAGAGAGCUCCCGCUCCCUCUCUCUAAAAACCAGACCCCCUUCUGCUGAAACUGUUAAUGAAAACGAGCCUUGCAAAGAUGCUUCUCUCCUGGACCGUUGAUACCUUUGGACUUGAGAAUUCCAUUUCCAAAUGUGAUCCGCGGGGAAAGCAAAGGACUUUCGCUUUACGGCGCAAACGUCUCCUGAACUUUUCAAUCAUGCUGAACGGAGGCUCUGUACCUGACUGACAGGACCGCCCUCUUCCCCUCCCCCAGCCCCUGGUAACCUGUACCCACUUCCUGUCUGGGAACUGGACUACUCUUGGUCCCUCCUCUAAGUGGGAUAGCAUGUGCGGAUGUCACGGCUUUGACGCUGUUUGCCCUUCGGUGUCUGGCGUGUUUCAUGGAGCAUGUUGCCGUGGAGGGUUUCAAGUCCCCAAAGAUUUGGUGACAUAUCUCAACUAGAGACUGGCACUUCAAUCUCAGAGGGCUGUCCCCUGCCACGCCCUGUUUGAUGCCAACCAGCUUUGCCAUGGGAGCCUUUGGUGUCCUAUCUCCCUCUCCCACUGGAGCCCCAGGCACCAGCUGUCUUCAGCAUCCUCCCUGCGCCCUUGACCACCAGAGGGAUGAGUGUACCAGACUCUGGGAGGGAACAGCAGCUGUGUGAUCAGAGGCCAUUUCAGACGCAAACUUUUGGUCUGCACAAACUAUCAAAAGGACCUCCAGAUACAAACACCAACAAAAAUCACCAGGCUAUGUGGCACAAGAGCCACCUCAACCCACAUCUGGCGACAGGACUCGGGGCUCUUCUUUGUCUGUCCACCCUCUUGAGGCCAAACGCUGAGCAGUGGCCGUGAUCGGAAGGAGGCCUGGGCGCUGGUAAAACGCAUGGCUGAGUCUCAUCUUUUCCUGAGCCCUUGACCUCCCUGGGCUCCGAUUUUAACAAGAAGGCAUCUCUUAUUGUUUCACUGAUAGGGACUUGAGAUGGAUAGUUUUGGGGCAGUUUGGCCAUCAUCACAGGAGAGGGGAAAGGCUGAGAAUGGAGCUUCAUCUUGGAGCCUUGGUCCUCGAGGUUGGAUGAGCAGCAGCAUCACCGAGAACGCUUUAAAAAUCCACACGGCUGUAAUAACAAGUACGAUGACAUGUUCGGUUAAUGGGUCUCAAGGAACGUCGAGACCAUGUCCAGGUACCAUCAUCCACACGGUGUUUGAAUUUAUUUCUCCAUAUGAUGCCCGUGCUCUAAGAGCUCCGCUUUUCAGACGAGGGAACGCAUGCAGCCAUGUCAACUCUGUCCAAACAAAUAAACAAACCAGCACCAGACACUUGUUGGAAGUGGCAAGACAGCUGUCACCCAGAUGAUGGCAGCAGGAGAGAAAGACUCCAGUGUAUAAACUGGGCUCAAUUCCAAGUGCGACAAGGUUGACCGGGGCCUUUUCAGCGAGAACGACUAGGAAGCAAGCACGUGAAGAGGUGACAAGGAGAACUGGACAAAGAGACUGGCAGUGCAAGUGAAACGGAAAGAUGCAGAAGUGGGGAAUUCUAGCGGAGAACUGCAGGACCGGGCUGGCCAGGCUGGGCUGGGGGACAAAGCACAUUCUUUGUUCGGCAGCAGCUUUUGCUUGAGCAAAGAUUCACCACCGGGGCCUGGGUCGCCUUUAGGGACACAGCCACCUGCAAGCAGAAGCCAGGCUGAUGUCUGGGCAAGUAUCUUAGCACAAGGUUGGGGCAAGCCCUUUGUGUUGUGGUGUGGGUUCGGAACCGCGUCACUUGCCUAAGGAAGGCCACACAGCCAGCAGGCAGUGGCGUUGGGAGUCAAGCCCGAGCAGCGGGAUGGAAUUCCGAAUCCUAUCCUGUCUCUGCAGACGUGUUUUUAGCAUCAGCCCUUUGCUGUUCCCCGAGCGAAUGCUCCUGUCUCCCUCACCUGUCUUCAUACCUGUGCAGUUCGGCUCCACCAGUUGCUCCCACACUUCAGGGCCAGAAAGCCUGUCACCUGUGGUUCCCUGGGCACCUGCGCUCAGCUUCUCUGCAGCCACAGCCCUGGCAAGGACAGACCCAGCCUUAGCCCUGCGGAGUCCUUUCCUCUGUCUCCAUCUGUACCCUCGCCUUCUCCCACUCUGAAGGAGUCGCCCCUGAAGGCUUCAGAGCCGACCCUGAAGAGUGCGUUUGACAAGGGGACAUCCUGACCUGGCGACGUUUUCGCAACCUUAGAAAAAUGACCUCAUCCCACGUUACCAACCAACCAACCUCUCCAUCCUAACACAAAGCUCAGCCAAGCCUCCUGGGAAAAAGACACAGAGGGAAGAGGAAGAGCUGCUGUAAGGAAUCCGAGGAGCUAAGCCAUCCAGAAAAGCUGUUUUCAAACUUUGUAUAUAUAUAUAUUCAAUAAUAUAUUAUACAUAAUAAAUAAUAAUACGUCUAUCUUUAAUAUAAAUAUAUGUAUAUUUAAUAUAUUACUAUACUUGUAUUAAAUAUACACAUGUAUAUAUAUAUUCAACCUUAUGUAGCUUACAUAAUAUGUAUAUUUUUUAUAAAUAUACACUCUUAGUUCCGCUUCCCAGGCUGGUCCGGAGAAGGAGAGAGAGUUCCAUUCUCUCUGCCAUAGUUUAUGGCAGAUGCUUGAGCCGGGGACCCCACAGCUGGUCGUCACCCUCCCUGUCUCAGUUCUCGCCUGACAAUGUGUCAGUGACCCUGCGGCACCUGUGUCCCUCUCACACACGAUGACAGGGUUUUAAUCCCCUGUGCACGCGUCACAAACCCAGACCAGAGCCUGGAGGUGCUGAAGGCAGGAAUGAAUGCAUGAGCACAGAGGGGGAGGGGCAAAAAUGAACCUGCCGGGAGAACUGAGGGGCAUGGGGAUGCGGUUUGCUCCUUGGCAGGAAGUUCCGUCAAGGUGACAUCCGGGAAAGCGUUCAGGACUUAGGUCGGGCAUAUAGUUGGUGCUCAAUAAAUGCUUAAGAAACAGAGAAUGGGAUCGACCUGUUUGCUCUGUUUCUCCGGUUGAGGGGGUCUCAUCUCAAAAAAGACCACCAAGAUCUCAUUAUCUUCAUUUUACUCAGAAAACCUGAGAUUUCUGUCCAAUAUCACAUGUUUGCAGAGUUCUGGAACUGGGAUCUGGAUGAUUUUGCUUUGGUUCCAGAAUUCUCUCUUAGGUCCACAAUCCUACCCAGUAGUUGCACCAUCUUGUCCACUAGUCUCUCUUCUCUUUACUUGGUCUACACUGAGCUUUGGUCAGCGCCGGUGGCUUGUUUUCACAGAAUCUGCUCGGAACCCCCUUCUUCCUCCAUGCAGCCCACAUGCCUUGGGGAGCAGGGCCUGUUGCUCUGAAAGCACAGGACGUUUCUCAAGCUGUGACAUCCUUACAAGUCACCUGGUGACCCGGUGACUAGGCAGGUGCUGGGUCAGGGGAGGGGGCUGGGCCUGAGACUCUGCAUUUCUAGUGGCCUCCACCUGCUGCUCCUGCCUUCCUCGGGGCAGGAGGACAGCUUGGUGCCUUUGUUUGUGCUGAAUUUCUCUCUGAAGACACGGCAAGUUUCUUGACAGCUGGACCAGUGUGGUUCAUCUUUCUCUCCCUGGAUGGAAGGAUUAGCUCAGGGGAGGGGGAUUAGCUCCAGGGAGGGGGAUUAGCUCAGGGGAGAGACGUCUUUUCCUUCGAAUCCACCUUUUUGAGCAGAGAAGAGAGGAGCUGAGCGGUUCCCGUCUGGGACCUUAGCCCUCGCUUCUUUUUCAUGACGCCACAACCCCUACAAAACCCAACCAAACAGAACGAACUGUGAAGUACCUUUGUUAUUUUUCAGAGUCCACACAGAGGUGGUGGGUGGCUGCUGAAGCCCAGGCUUCCAUCUGGGACAUCGUCUCUCCACGUACACAUGAUGCGCGUGUGUGGACGUUUUUGAAUAGAGAGGGAAAAUGUCAGAUUUGGGGCCUCUUGAGCCCAGCAUCAUCUUUUUAAGAAGUCUCCCCCAUGCCAAGGAAUCUGAUUGGGUGGCUCCGGUGUCUGCCUGACAUUGGCACCUAGACGAUAAUCUCCUUAACGCUGUAAAUACUAAAGCUAAGUACCUUGGCAGGCAAAACAGCUAUGAUCUCGGAGAACACGUCGCGGCCGUCUGGCGGAGACCACUGCUGCGGUCAGCGACGGCCAAGCCCCACGCAGGGCGAAGCGUGUGACCUGACAGAGCAGGAAAUGGGCAGCCAAGACCUCGCCACUGUUUGGAAAUCUUUAAAGAUGCCAGGAGAGGGUUUCUCUUCCUGUGUAAGAGAGAAGCCAAGCUGUUGUCAUCUGAGGGGCAGCUGUAGGGAGUGGGGUACAGGUGGGUCUGAGAAAAGGAGUGACAGCAGGGAGGGGGGCUUCCAGGCUUCUCCUGUCCCCGGGACCUGGGAUCCCUGGCUCCCACAAUGCUCAUUGGGAAAUGGAUCUUUCCACUUAGCCUCGGGGGUGAACAAGGACGCUGCAACUCUGAGGCAACGGCUGGGUGACAAUACCUGGCCAUCGCCUCCUCUCCCAUGUGCUGGUCGGAAGAAAACCUCUCCCCUGCAGCCUUCCUGCAGAAGCCGCGUGGCUGCAUGUGCCCUGCUCUUGUGCUCACAUGAUUCUGUCCGCCUGGGCUCCUUCCCCUCUUCUGUCUGAUAACCUCCCAGUUACCCUUCAAAACGCAGACGAGGCCUGGCCGGAGGGCCCUCAGCCGCCCCUUUCUCCCUUCACACCUAAGACGGGCCAACUCAAACGCAUGCCAUCUGCAGGGAUGAAGUCACGAGCCACAGUAGCCGCGGGCCUUCGACACCCCUGAAAGGAGCUGGGGGCGGAGCUCAGGAGGAGGCACUCUGUGCUCCAGGAAAACUGGCCGAACAGGUCUUCAGAGAGGGAGAUAUUUUCCGGAGAUGUUAUGACCCAGUUUCUUGCAUCGUCUCAUGUCUAGAACAGCCCUAAAAUCAUUCAUGGAGAUGGCAUUUUAUUACACAAACAUUUAAGUUUUAUAUAACUUAGCAAUUACCUGUAUUAUAUGGAAAUAUCGUCUAACUUAAUCCUCACGUAACACCACGGGAAGGAGCCAUCCCGGACCAUUUGACAGGGGAGGCAGCUGGGACCAGAGGCACGUGGGCCUUUCAUUAGCUGUUCCUCCCUCCUCAUCUUCUCUCUCCCAGCGGAUCCCACCAAUGGGUCCUUGAGGGCCCACUUUCUCGGUGGGGACCACAUCGCCCCCCCAGAGGAGGAAAACGGGCUCCUGGAAGUAUGAAAAAAAACUUAGGUCACACAAAGAUCUGUGCUUCGGAGGUCCCGCUGUGGCCCAGUGGAAACUAGUAUCCAUGAGGACGCGGGUUCAAUCCCCGGCCUCGCUCAGGGAGGCAAGCAUCUGUGUUGCCAUGAUAUAGGUCACAGACGUGGCUCAGAUCCCGAGUGGCUGUGGCUGUGGUGUCGGCCAUGGCUACAGCUCCAAUUCGACCCCUAGCCUGGGAACCUCCAUGUGCUGCAGGUGCAGCCCUAAAAAGCAAAAAAAAAAAAAA